GACGAACGCCGGCGGCGUGCUUAACACAUGCAAGUCGAACGGUAAGGCCCUUCGGGGUACACGAGUGGCGAACGGGUGAGUAACACGUGGGUGAUCUGCCCUGCACUUCGGGAUAAGCCUGGGAAACUGGGUCUAAUACCGGAUAGGACUCCUGCCUGCAUGGGAGGGGGUGGAGAGCUUUUGCGGUGUGGGAUGGGCCCGCGGCCUAUCAGAUUGUUGGUGGGGUGCUGGCCUACCAAGGCGACGACGGGUAGCCGGCCUUAGAGGGGGACCGGCCACACUGGGACUGAGAUACGGCCCAGACUCCUACGGGAGGCAGCAGUGGGGAAUAUUGCACAAUGGGCGCAAGCCUGAUGCAGCGACGCCGCGUGAGGGAUGACGGCCUUCGGGUUGUAAACCUCUUUCAGCACAGACGAAGCGCAAGUGACGGUAUGUGCAGAAGAAGGACCGGCCAACUACGUGCCAGCAGCCGCCGUAA
This 478-nucleotide ribosomal RNA is filed under the name uncultured bacterium. RNAcentral describes it as "partial 16S ribosomal RNA". It matches the Rfam family "Bacterial small subunit ribosomal RNA", at positions 28 to 523 of the family's 1533-position model. The record is from RNAcentral.